This 469-nucleotide ribosomal RNA is filed under the name uncultured bacterium. RNAcentral describes it as "bacterial SSU rRNA". It matches the Rfam family "Bacterial small subunit ribosomal RNA", at positions 8 to 518 of the family's 1533-position model. The record is from RNAcentral.
AGAGUUGAUCAUGGCUCAGAACGAACGCUGGCGGCAGGCCUAACACAUGCAAGUCGAGCGCGCCCUUCGGGGUGAGCGGCGACGGGUUAGUAACGCGUGGGAACGUACCCUUUGGUAGGGAAUAGCCACUGGAAACGGUGAGUAAUACCCUAUGAGCCCUUCGGGGGAAAGAUUUAUCGCCAAAAGGAUCGGCCCGCGUUAGAUUAGGUAGUUGGUGGGGUAAUGGCCUACCAAGCCUACGAUCUAUAGCUGGUUUUAGAGGAUGAUCAGCAACACUGGGACUGAGACACGGCCCAGACUCCUACGGGAGGCAGCAGGUGGGGAAUCUUGGACAAGUGGGGGCAACCCUGAACUCCAGCCAUGCCGCGUGAGUGAAGAAGGUCCGUUAGGGUCGUAAAGCUCUUUCGCCUGUGAAGAUAAUGACGGUAGCAGGUAAAGAAACCCCGGCUAACUCCGUGCCAGCCGCAGC